This 355-nucleotide long non-coding RNA is filed under the name Nicotiana benthamiana. RNAcentral describes it as "long non-coding RNA (NBEN_LNC024166)". Lineage: Eukaryota; Viridiplantae; Streptophyta; Magnoliopsida; Solanales; Solanaceae. The record is from RNAcentral.
CUAGGUGACGGACGACGGGGUGGAGAUGUCAAUAAAGGUGUGUCAAUGUAGGUUGUUUGGUCUGGUUGACGUGAUUAUAAAGAAGAUGAAGUGAUCGUUUGGUUCACGUCGAUCCUGUCCGGCUAGGUAUGCGACGAGAGGUGUGGUUGACUGGUGAGUGUCGUUUGAAAGGGGUCUGGAGCAUUUGGUGGUCAUUGGGCAGGAGGCCGGAAGGAGAACCGGUGGGGCAACAGUCGUGAUAUGCCGCUGGAAUGGGAAGGGCAGCCAUGGUUGUGGAGCUUGGGUGGUUUCAGGGUUUGGUGGCUAGGGAGGAUGGUUUGGAGAAGAUGAAGAGAAAGGGGUGGGUGUUUCGGUG